Molecule: long non-coding RNA, 660 nt
Filed under: Medicago truncatula (barrel medic)
Lineage: Eukaryota; Viridiplantae; Streptophyta; Magnoliopsida; Fabales; Fabaceae
Description: long non-coding RNA (MTRU_LNC000034)
Source: RNAcentral
UAAAAGUGUUUGCAGAAUUAUUAAAUGGUUACUUAUUUUUUGAAUUUUUAAUUAUAAAAUUAGAAAUGUUAUAAAUUAAUAUAAUAAUAUUAAUUGAUUAAUUUUCUUCAAAAACAAUUACUAUUAAUUAAUUUCUGGAGAAAAAAAUCUCCAGCGCUCCUUCUUCUUCCAUUCCACUAUCCACUCACCUUCUUCUUCCAUAGCAAGUUCACUCACACCUCCAUCACCCACUCCCUCCUUAGGCAUAACACAAAAUUAAUGAUACAAGAAUAUAGGUCUUUGAAAUUUUCAUUCAAAUUCCUUUAUUCCCCAAAUCCAAAUCUGUUAUUUGAUUUUGCUUAGCUUUUUCUUUUUAUUAUUUCUGACUUUUCGAAUCCCUUUCGUGAUUUCCAGACCUUAUGAAAAUUUUAGGUUUUGUUGUUGUUUAGUGCUACUGGUUUGUUAAAGGAUUUUGAAUGUUGAUUGUUGUUGAAUUUCUGGGUUUAUUUUCUUAUCAUUGUUGAUUGUGUUUUUGGUUGUUUAAUUUGUAAAGAGAUGAAUAAGAUGGUUUGGGUGGUGAUGAAGCAAAACAUGAUUAAGGACAUGAAGUUAGUGCUACUGGUUUUAUUUUAUUUUCACUAAUGAAGGAGAAGAAGUUGGGUGGUAAUUUCUUAAUUAAUA